This 468-nucleotide ribosomal RNA is filed under the name uncultured bacterium. RNAcentral describes it as "partial 16S ribosomal RNA". It matches the Rfam family "Bacterial small subunit ribosomal RNA", at positions 29 to 507 of the family's 1533-position model. The record is from RNAcentral.
ACGCACGCUGGCGGCGUGCUUAACACAUGCAAGUCGAACGGAAAGGCCCUGCUUGCCGGGUGCUCGAGUGGCGAACGGGUGAGUAACACGUGGGUGAUCUGCCCCUUACUUUGGGAUAAGCCUGGGAAACUGGGUCUAAUACUGGAUAGGACCAUGCUGUAGGUGGUGUGGUGGAAAGAUUAGUUUCGGUAAGGGAUGAGCUCGCGGCCUAUCAGCUUGUUGGUGGGGUAAUGGCCUACCAAGGCGUCGACGGGUAGCCGGCCUGAGAGGGUGGACGGCCACAUUGGGACUGAGAUACGGCCCAGACUCCUACGGGAGGCAGCAGUGGGGAAUAUUGCACAAUGGGCGCAAGCCUGAUGCAGCGACGCCGCGUGGGGGAUGACGGCCUUCGGGUUGUAAACUCCUUUCAGCCAUGACGAAGCCCUUGUGGUGACGGUAGUGGUAGAAGAAGCACCGGCUAACUACGUG